This 374-nucleotide ribosomal RNA is filed under the name uncultured organism. RNAcentral's name for it is "bacterial SSU rRNA". It matches the Rfam family "Bacterial small subunit ribosomal RNA", at positions 526 to 896 of the family's 1533-position model. The record is from RNAcentral.
CGGGGGGAGCAAGCGUUGUUCGGAUUUACUGGGCGUAAAGGGCGCGUAGGCGGCGUGACAAGUCACUUGUGAAAUCUCCGGGCUUAACCCGGAGCGGCCAAGUGAUACUGUCGUGCUAGAGUGCGGAAGGGGCUACUGGAAUUCUCGGUGUAGCGGUGAAAUGCGUAGAUAUCGAGAGGAACACCUGCGGCGAAGGCGGGUAGCUGGGCCGACACUGACGCUGAUGCGCGAAAGCCAGGGGGAGCGAACGGGAUUAGAUACCCCGGUAGUCCUGGCCUUAAACGAUGGAUACUUGGUGUCCGGGGUUACAUAGUCCCCGGGUGCCGGCGCUAACGCAUUAAGCAUUCCGCCUGGGGAGUACGGUCGCAAGACUG